Molecule: ribosomal RNA, 493 nt
Filed under: uncultured bacterium
Lineage: Bacteria
Description: partial 16S ribosomal RNA
Rfam family: Bacterial small subunit ribosomal RNA
Source: RNAcentral
AUUGAACGCUGGCGGCAUGCUUUACACAUGCAAGUCGAACGGCAACGAGGAGAAGCUUGCUUCUCUGUCGGCGAGUGGCGAACGGGUGAGUAUAGCAUCGGAACGUGCCAAGUAGUGGGGGAUAACCAAACGAAAGUUUGGCUAAUACCGCGUAAGCUCCAAGGAGGAAAGUAGGGGACCUAAAUAAGGCCUUACGCUAUUUGAUCGGCCGAUGUCGGAUUAGCUAGUUGGUGGGGUAAUGGCUCACCAAGGCAAUGAUCCGUAGCGGGUCUGAGAGGACGAUCCGCCACACUGGGACUGAGACACGGCCCAGACUCCUACGGGAGGCAGCAGUGGGGAAUUUUGGACAAUGGGGGAAACCCUGAUCCAGCCAUGCCGCGUGUAUGAAGAAGGCCUUAGGGUUGUAAAGUACUUUUGUUAGGGAAGAAAAGCUAGGUUUUAAUAAAAAUUAGUGAUGACGGUACCUAAAGAAUAAGCACCGGCUAACUACGUG